RNAcentral lists this transfer RNA (84 nucleotides) under Salmonella enterica subsp. enterica serovar Bareilly. Its description in RNAcentral is "tRNA-Leu". It matches the Rfam family "tRNA". Rfam says of the family: Transfer RNA (tRNA) molecules are approximately 80 nucleotides in length. Lineage: Bacteria; Pseudomonadati; Pseudomonadota; Gammaproteobacteria; Enterobacterales; Enterobacteriaceae. The record is from RNAcentral.
GGAUCUGUGGUGGAAUGGUAUACACACCAUGCUUAAAACGUGGCGCUUAACUGAUUGAGGGUUCAAGUCCCUCCAGAUCCACCA